Molecule: ribosomal RNA, 253 nt
Filed under: uncultured bacterium
Lineage: Bacteria
Description: partial 16S ribosomal RNA
Rfam family: Bacterial small subunit ribosomal RNA
Source: RNAcentral
UACGAAGGGAGCAAGCGUUGUCCGGAUUUAUUGGGCGUAAAGAGCGUGUAGGCGGCCAGACAGGUCCGUUGUGAAAACUGGAGGCUUAACCUCCAGACGUCGAUGGAAACCGUCUGGCUAGAGUCCGGAAGAGGAGAGUGGAAUUCCUGGUGUAGCAGUGAAAUGCGCAGAUAUCAGGAAGAACACCCGUGGCUAAGGCGGCUCUCUAGUACGGUACUGACGCUGAGACGCGAAAGCGUGGGGAGCAAACAGG